ACACCUGAACACCGUGGAGUUGGUGCACCUCUGCUCCACUGCCAGUGGGCACUGCCCUGCCAACAGCUUGGCAAGGCCAUGCAGCAGGAAUUUCACCAAAGAUUUACAGGCGGUACAGCUGCCACUGCUCUGACACGUAUUCCAUGAACUGCUGCCCCUUAACCAGGAAAGGCUCCUUGAACUCCUGCUCCCAGGCUUCGACCUUUCUCUCCAGCUCCUCCUGCAGCUGAUCAGGACAUGAGCUGCCUGGCCAGCUGACACCCACCAUCAUAGAAGG
Molecule: long non-coding RNA, 277 nt
Organism: Lepidothrix coronata (blue-crowned manakin)
Lineage: Eukaryota; Metazoa; Chordata; Aves; Passeriformes; Pipridae
Exons: 3
Source: RefSeq, a predicted model, not a curated record